Molecule: transfer RNA, 82 nt
Organism: Ipomoea nil (Japanese morning glory)
Lineage: Eukaryota; Viridiplantae; Streptophyta; Magnoliopsida; Solanales; Convolvulaceae
Rfam family: tRNA
About the family: Transfer RNA (tRNA) molecules are approximately 80 nucleotides in length. Their secondary structure includes four short double-helical elements and three loops (D, anti-codon, and T loops).
Source: Rfam
GUUGCUUUGGCUGAGUGGUUAAGGCGUGUGCCUGCUAAGUACAUGGGAUUUCCACGUGAGAGUUCAAAUUUGUUUGGCAACG